GGGAGUUUGGCCGAGUGGUUAAGGCGCCGUGUUUAGGUAUUCCUCAAGAGUUUCUCUUGGUUUACUAUAAACCCGCGGUGGGAAACCGCGCAGGUUCGAAUCCUGCAGCUCUCA
Molecule: non-coding RNA, 114 nt
Organism: Hypoxylon argillaceum
Lineage: Eukaryota; Fungi; Ascomycota; Sordariomycetes; Xylariales; Hypoxylaceae
Source: the annotation of a GenBank genome assembly